RNAcentral lists this microRNA (24 nucleotides) under Macaca mulatta (Rhesus monkey). Its description in RNAcentral is "mml-miR-520g". Its record names the gene mml-miR-520g. The record is from miRBase by way of RNAcentral. Lineage: Eukaryota; Metazoa; Chordata; Mammalia; Primates; Cercopithecidae.
ACAAAGUGCUUCCCUUCAGAGUGU